AACGAACGCUGGCGGCAUGCCUAACACAUGCCAGUCGAACGAGACCUUCGGGUCUAGUGGCGCACGGGUGCGUAACGCGUGGGAACCUGCCCUUAGGUUCGGAAUAACUCCCCGAAAGGGGUGCUAAUACCGGAUAAUGUCUUCGGACCACAGAUUUAUCGCCUUUGUAUGGGCCCGCGUUGUAUUAGCUUGUUGGUAGGGUAAAAGCCUACCAAGGCGACGAUCCAUAGCUGGUCAGAGAGGAUGAUCAGCCACACUGGGAGUGGGACACGGCCCAGACUCCUACGGGAGGCAGCAGUGGGGAAUAUUGGACAAUGGGCGAAAGCCUGAUCCAGCAAGGCCUGGUGAGUGAUGAAGGCCUUAGGGUUGUAAAGCUCUUUUACCCGGGAUGAUAAUGACAGUACCGGGAGAAUAAGCUCCGGCUAACUCCGUG
RNAcentral lists this ribosomal RNA (433 nucleotides) under uncultured bacterium. RNAcentral's name for it is "partial 16S ribosomal RNA". It matches the Rfam family "Bacterial small subunit ribosomal RNA", at positions 29 to 507 of the family's 1533-position model. The record is from RNAcentral.